GACGAUGGGUAUUAAUUUUAUUUGUUAUUGAGAUCGCUGAACAUAGCAAUAAAAAACCGAUCUACUAUUAUCUUUUUGUACGCAUCCUGAUCCAGUAUAAUUAAUAAUGUUGGUCUUAAUUGUAAUAUUAAUUUAAUAUUUUUCCGCGAGUACGGAGAGAGAAAUAAAUAUUGUGAAAUAAUUUAUUUUAUUUCAAUACAGCAAAAGUAUCCCACAGAUGUCUCGAUAACCACUUUUGAUGAAUUGUCUGCCAGCAAUCAAUGCAAAUUUAAUUUGUAGUUUUCACUAUUCGUCCAUUCUCGUCAAUUCUUCUGUGCAGAUUUUUUAUUUACUAUACUAAAUGCAUUUGUUAAUUUUUAAACUGAAUUGCUGUGAAAUGUCUUUUGCACAUUUAAUGCCCACUUAUUCUCUCGGGUUCACGAACUAAAAAGGUCAGAUAGUUACCAUAUACAGAACAGUGUAUAUACCACAUGAUGAGAAUAAUGAAUAACAUCGGAAAUGGCCUUUCUAUUUUUAUCCAUAAUUAACUAUAUUUAUAAUCGUUUUUAUAUUAGUUGACGGGUUCCUGACCUAAAUGCUGCCCAUGUAUGUGGUCGAACACUCCCUAUAUUGAUAUGAUUAGUUGGACUUUCAAAUUUCGCCAUGCAGGGAGUAAAAUUAAACGAGAAAGCUGCGGAUUAAUAGCGAUGCAAUUACCUGAAAAAUGCAAGGAGAACUUCGACGUUUCGAGCGAAGACACUUUAAAGAAGUUAGUAGCGGGGAUCGGGAAAAUUACAUGAGCUUUUUAUACUAGUGAAUAUAAAGGCGGUCACGUGACAAAAAAUAAACCAAUCAGAUGGAUAGAGAGUAAACAAAAAUACAUGUAAAUCACAUUACAGAAUAUAUAAAUUAAAUGGAUGGCGGAUAGAAUAAAGCAGUAGAGCUCUUCGGUUACCUAUACAAGUUUCAAUCAUGUGGUAUUCACGUCUUAUGCAUUUUGUAUAAAUUUGAAUAAAAAAUGGAUCAAUUAGCCUUUCGUACGCCGCCAUUUUUGGGUGGCUUUUCAGCCGACGUCUGAGAGAUAAGUCCACAUAACAGCGACUUUUUUAAAUUUUUUUGACGAAUGAUGGUAAAUUUGCUUUGUAAAUGGUUAGUUUAUUUUGACAAAAUGCUUUUCACAUUGUUUUAAUUAUCUGCAUUGGUUAACGAGAAUUAGAUGCCACCCAAAAAUGGCG
Non-coding RNA from Paramuricea clavata, 1214 nucleotides. Lineage: Eukaryota; Metazoa; Cnidaria; Anthozoa; Malacalcyonacea; Plexauridae. The record is from the annotation of a GenBank genome assembly.